Molecule: ribosomal RNA, 475 nt
Filed under: uncultured bacterium
Lineage: Bacteria
Description: partial 16S ribosomal RNA
Rfam family: Bacterial small subunit ribosomal RNA
Source: RNAcentral
GACGAACGCUGGCGGCGUGCUUAACACAUGCAAGUCGAACGGUAAGGCCCUUCGGGGUACACGAGUGGCGAACGGGUGAGUAACACGUGGGUGAUCUGCCCUGCACUUCGGGAUAAGCCUGGGAAGCUGGGUCUAAUACCGGAUAGGACCACUGCCUGCAUGGGUGGUGGUGGAAAGCUUUUGCGGUGUGGGAUGGGCCCGCGGCCUAUCAGCUUGUUGGUGGGGUGAUGGCCUACCAAGGCGACGACGGGUAGCCGGCCUGAGAGGGUGACCGGCCACACUGGGAAUGAGAUACGGCCCAGACUCCUACGGGAGGCAGCAGUGGGGAAUAUUGCACAAUGGGCGAAAGCCUGACGGAGCAACGCCGCGUGGGGGAGGACGCUUUUCGGAGUGUAAACCCCUUUUCUCGGGGACGAAGCACUGACGGUACCCGAGGAAGAAGGACCGGCUAACUACGUGCCAGCCGCCGCCGUAA